AGAGUUUGAUCAUGGCUCAGAACGAACGCUGGCGGCAGGCCUAACACAUGCAAGUCGAACGAUAAGCCACCUUCGGGUGGUGGACAGUGGCAGACGGGUGAGUAACGCGUGGGAACGUGCCUUUCGGUUCGGAAUAACCCAGGGAAACUUGGGCUAAUACCGGAUACGCCCUUCGGGGGAAAGAUUCAUUGCCGAAAGAUCGGCCCGCGUCGGAUUAGCUAGUUGGUGGGGUAAUGGCUCACCAAGGCGACGAUCCGUAGCUGGUCUGAGAGGAUGACCAGCCACACUGGGACUGAGACACGGCCCAGACUCCUACGGGAGGCAGCAGUGGGGAAUAUUGGACAAUGGGCGCAAGCCUGAUCCAGCCAUGCCGCGUGGGUGAAGAAGGCCUUAGGGUUGUAAACCCCUUUCAGCGGGGAAGAUAAUGACGGUACCCGCAGAAGAAGUCCGGCUAACUCCGUGCCAGCAGCCGCGGUA
RNAcentral lists this ribosomal RNA (477 nucleotides) under uncultured Pseudomonadota bacterium. Its description in RNAcentral is "bacterial SSU rRNA". It matches the Rfam family "Bacterial small subunit ribosomal RNA", at positions 8 to 522 of the family's 1533-position model. The record is from RNAcentral. Lineage: Bacteria; Pseudomonadati; Pseudomonadota.